This 445-nucleotide ribosomal RNA is filed under the name uncultured bacterium. Its description in RNAcentral is "partial 16S ribosomal RNA". It matches the Rfam family "Bacterial small subunit ribosomal RNA", at positions 354 to 796 of the family's 1533-position model. The record is from RNAcentral.
GUGAGGAAUAUUGGUCAAUGGGCGAGAGCCUGAACCAGCCAAGUCGCGUGAAGGAAGAAGGAUCUAUGGUUCGUAAACUUCUUUUGCAGGGGAAUAAAGUGCAGGACGUGUCCUGUUUUGUAUGUACCCUGAGAAUAAGGAUCGGCUAACUCCGUGCCAGCAGCCGCGGUAAUACGGAGGAUCCGAGCGUUAUCCGGAUUUAUUGGGUUUAAAGGGUGCGUAGGUGGUUUGAUAAGUCAGCGGUGAAAGUUUGCAGCUUAACUGUAAAAAUGCCGUUGAAACUGUCGGACUUGAGUGUAAAUGAGGUAGGCGGAAUGCGUGGUGGAGCGGUGAAAUGCAUAGAUAUCACGCAGAACUCCGAUUGCGAAGGCAGCUUACUAAGCUACAACUGACACUGAAGCACGAAAGCGUGGGGAUCAAACAGGAUUAGAAACCCUUGUAGUCC